GUCAUUAACAUUAAGCAAGAUAUUUUCAUUGUGCCUAGGUUUAAUGUCCUGGAGGAGGGCAUGGCAACCCGCUCCAGUAUUCUUGCCUGGAGAAUCCCAUGGACAGAGGAGCCUGGUGGACUGCAGUCCAUAGGGUCCAAAGAGGCAGACACAGCUGAGCAACUGAGCACAGCCCAGCCCCGCUCUGACCAGGCCUCUGCGCUCCAGUUUGAACUGACCCCACCAGGCCUCUGCACUCCUGUAUGGGACUUGCCUGGCUCUACAGUCAUUUGAGAUGGUAAUUUUGGACAUUUACAACUCAUCUUCCCAACAGUUUUGCAAGAAAUGCUACUGGUCUCCCGACUGAGAAUCACCAGCUUAAAGAGAGGCCCAGAGAGACGUCAAGCAGACAGACUGAUGGACAGACAGACUCUGAGAUGAAGAAACCCAGGUGCAGUGUGAUGUCUGUCCUCUGACAUUGUUGUCCUGACCUUCCUGUGUUGACGAUGGAAGCCCAGACACUGGAAAGCAGUUCUGUGCUGAUCCUGCCGGAGCCUCGAAUGAGCCUCUGCAAGCUGCCUGGGGCAUCAGUCCUGGGAGCCCUGAUGGGGAAGGCACAGGACUGCAGCUCACAAAGAGAUACAAGAUCAUUAACCAGGAAGCCACCAAGAGACACUGCAAUCACCCAUUUGUGUGUCUUAUUUUCUCUGGAGCCAGAAGGUCUUUCAUCUUGGAAUUUCUCUGGGAUUGUGCUUCAUAUUUCAAUCAUUCUCUCUUGUCUGGUUUUAUCUAUCCCUUUGACAGAUCAUAUGGUUGCUCCACUGUUUCCAACUUUCUCAACAGCAUGA
RNAcentral lists this long non-coding RNA (827 nucleotides) under Bos indicus x Bos taurus (hybrid cattle). Its description in RNAcentral is "lncRNA (ENSBIXG00005004468.1)". Lineage: Eukaryota; Metazoa; Chordata; Mammalia; Artiodactyla; Bovidae. The record is from RNAcentral.